This 498-nucleotide ribosomal RNA is filed under the name uncultured bacterium. RNAcentral describes it as "partial 16S ribosomal RNA". It matches the Rfam family "Bacterial small subunit ribosomal RNA", at positions 28 to 507 of the family's 1533-position model. The record is from RNAcentral.
GACGAACGCUGGCGGCGUGCCUAAUACAUGCAAGUCGAACGAGAGCGACCGGUGCUUGCACUGGUCAAUCUAGUGGCGAACGGGUGAGUAACACGUGGGUAACCUGCCCAUCAGAGGGGGAUAACAUCCGGAAACGGAUGCUAAAACCGCAUAGGUCUUCGAACCGCAUGGUUUGAAGAGGAAAAGAGGCGCAAGCUUCUGCUGAUGGAUGGACCCGCGGUGCAUUAGCUAGUUGGUGAGGUAACGGCUCACCAAGGCCGUGAUGCAUAUCCGACCUGAGAGGGUGAUCGGCCACAUUGGGACUGAGACACGGCCCAAACUCCUACGGGAGGCAGCAGUAGGGAAUCUUCCGCAAUGGACGCAAGUCUGACGGAGCAACGUCGCGUGAGUGAAGAAGGUUUUCGGAUCGUAAAACUCUGUUGUUAGAGAAGAACAAGUGCUAGAGUAACUGUUAGCGCCUUGACGGUAUCUAACCAGAAAGCCACGGCUAACUACGUG